This 380-nucleotide unclassified non-coding RNA is filed under the name Salvia reptans. Its description in RNAcentral is "partial external transcribed spacer". Lineage: Eukaryota; Viridiplantae; Streptophyta; Magnoliopsida; Lamiales; Lamiaceae. The record is from RNAcentral.
CGACGGCAUCUCCUCCACGCCUCUUCAGUUGUUGGCACGAGCGUGGGCUCGUCCGACUUUGGUUUCCUGUGUUGAAUACCUAUCGAGAUGGCAUUGAGUCGGCUAUGUCCGUUCUUAUCCCGCCUUGUGUGGCUGCUCCACCUGGGGCGGCGGCAUCGGGAGGGCCAGGUCGCGCACGCUGCGUGUCGCACCGCGUUCGCUAUUACUGGCGUUUGGGUCGACGACCAGCAGCGUUGUGCUCGAUCUCUCGGGUACGGUUCAUGAUGUGGAUACGAGGCCGACGGCCUCCGAGYUCCACAAACAAGCGUUCUACGCUUCGUGCGAACGACUGUUGGUUUGGUGUUUGGCCGUGCUCCCGUGGCUCGGUUCAAGCCGUGCCG